AACGCUGGCGGCGUGCUUAACACAUGCAAGUCGAACGAGAAUCUGUGGAUCGAGGAUUCGUCCAAGUGAAGCAGAGGACAGUGGCGGACGGGUGAGUAACGCGUGAGGAACCUGCCUUUCGAGAGGGGGGACAACAGUUGGAAACGACUGCUAAUACCGCAUGAUACAUUUGGGUGGCAUCAUCUGAAUGUCAAAGAUUUAUCGCUGAAAGAUGGCCUCGCGUCUGAUUAGCUAGUUGGUGAGGUAACGGCCCACCAAGGCGACGAUCGGUAGCCGACCUGAGAGGGUGACCGGCCACAUUGGGACUGAGACACGGCCCAGACUCCUACGGGAGGCAGCAGUGGGGAAUAUUGCACAAUGGAGGAAACUCUGAUGCAGCGACGCCGCGUGAGCGAAGAAGUAUUUCGGUAUGUAAAGCUCUGUCAGCAGGGAAGAUAAUGACGGUACCUGACCAAGAAGCCCCGGCUAACUACGUG
Molecule: ribosomal RNA, 476 nt
Filed under: uncultured bacterium
Lineage: Bacteria
Description: bacterial SSU rRNA
Rfam family: Bacterial small subunit ribosomal RNA
Source: RNAcentral